Molecule: transfer RNA, 85 nt
Filed under: Felis catus (domestic cat)
Lineage: Eukaryota; Metazoa; Chordata; Mammalia; Carnivora; Felidae
Rfam family: tRNA
About the family: Transfer RNA (tRNA) molecules are approximately 80 nucleotides in length. Their secondary structure includes four short double-helical elements and three loops (D, anti-codon, and T loops).
Source: Rfam by way of RNAcentral
GCCUGGGUGGCUCAGUUGGUUAAGCGUCUGACUUCAGCUCAGGUCAUGAUCUCGCAGUUCGUGGGUUCGAGCCCCACGUCGGGCU